RNAcentral lists this long non-coding RNA (20828 nucleotides) under Daucus carota (carrot). RNAcentral describes it as "long non-coding RNA (DCAR_LNC002587)". The record is from RNAcentral. Lineage: Eukaryota; Viridiplantae; Streptophyta; Magnoliopsida; Apiales; Apiaceae.
AUCUUCAGAAGCUGCAACAUUUGGACUUGGGCUCAAACUACUUGGCUAGUCCAGACUGGUCUCUGUUUUCGGACAUGCCAAUUUUGACAUACCUCAGUUUAUACUACAAUGAGCUUGCUUCCGGAUUUCCAUUUUAUGUGAUAAAUUUAAGGAACUUAAUUUUUCUUGAUUUGUCGAGGAAUGAGUUGACAGGCUUACUGCCAAGAAAUAUUUCCAAGCUUUUCAAGUUAGAAGAACUUCGCCUAGGAAGGAAUAACUUCACAGGGCCAAUUCCUUCUUCAAUAGGUCAACUUAGGCAGCUUCAAAUUCUUGAUCUCAAAGAAAAUUAUCUGAACUCUAGUAUUCCUCCUGAGCUUGGCUUGUGCACCAAGCUCACCUUCUUGGCUCUGGCUGUGAAUUCUCUUACCGGGCCUUUGCCUUUGUCGUUUUCAAAUCUUACACAAAUUUCCCAACUCGACGUAUCAGACAAUUUUCUCUCUGGUGAGCUGUCACCACAUUUCAUCAGCAACUGGUCUCAGUUAACAGAACUAUACAUGAAAAAUAAUACCUUUACGGGUAAUAUUCCUCCUGAAAUUGGUAUGUUGACAAAUCUCACAUACCUGUAUCUGUAUAGUAAUAAAUUCAGAGGAAGAAUUCCCAGAGAGAUUGGAAAUUUGAAAGAGCUUCUGGAAUUAGACUUGUCAGGAAACCAUCUAGAAGGUUCAAUUCCAGCAACAAUAGGAAAGCUCACCAAAUUGGUGCUCUUACAGUUGUUCUCCAAUAAUCUUAGUGGAACUAUUCCACCUGAGAUUGGAAACUUGACACAGCUGGAAACUCUUGAUCUCCAAAGUUGUCAAUUUAAUGGAGAGCUGCCUGAUACAAUUGCGGAAUUAAGUCACUUGAACUUAAUUCAUCUUCACAAUAACAGGUUUUCUGGUAGCCUUCCGAAGGACUUUGGAAAAAAGAAUCUCAAUCUGUCCACUGUUAAUUUUUCGUUCAACAGAUUCUCCGGAAAAUUGCCAGAAGGAUUGUGCAGUAGUUUAACCCUUUCGUGGAUUACAGUAACUGCAAACAAUUUUUCAGGGGUCCUGCCAUCAUGCCUGAGAAAGUGCUCCACAUUGAGUAGAGUCCGUCUUGAUAAAAACCAGUUCUCUGGAAAUGUUUCUGAAGCAUUUGGUUUUCAUCCAUAUCUUGUUUUCAUAUCUCUGAGCGGCAAUAAAUUUACGGGUGAACUCUCCUCCAAGUGGGGAAAGUAUGAAAGUCUUGCAAACAUGGAAAUGUCACAGAACAAAAUUUCAGGUGCCAUCCCAGCUGAGCUUGGAAACUUAAAGAAUUUGCAAAUUUUGCAGCUGGAAUCGAAUGAGUUGACAGGUCAGAUUCCGAAUGAAAUGGGAAAUUUGAUCCAGUUGUUGAAAUUCAACUUGAGCCGUAAUCAUUUGACUGGAGACAUCCCUAAGAGUUUAGGCAAACUAUCAAAGCUCAACUAUUUUGAUUUGUCUUCAAACAAAUUGAAGGGAAGCAUACCGAAAGAUCUUGGGAAUUGUGAGAGCUUAUUGAGCCUGAACUUAAGCCAGAACAGUUUUUCAGAAGUAAUACCAUCUGAACUUGGCAAUUUGGUUCAGUUGCAAAUUACUUUGGACCUGAGUAGCAAUUCACUUUCAGGCACCAUUCCUUCUAAUUUGGCAAAACAGAAGGUUUUGCAAAAUUUAAAUCUUUCACACAAUCAGCUCUCAGGUAAAAUUUCCUCCUCCCUAUCUACGGGCAUGAUUAGUUUGGACACUAUUGAUUUAUCUUAUAAUAACUUGUCUGGCCCUAUACCCUUGUUCCCACACACAGUGGAAAAAGUUUUUAAUGGAAACCCUCUUCUGUGUGGAGAUGCUAAAGGAUUGUCCCCAUGUCCGGAUUUGUCUUUCAAAUCAUCGAAGUCCAGUAAAAAAUCAAUAAUUGGUGGCAGUGUUGCAGGGGUCAGUCUCUUAGUUUCUGGGACUAUUGUUAUUGUUGGAUGUUUAAUAUGUCAAAAAAAAAUCAAGAAACAUGAUUUAGAGGCGAUCAAUUCCAAGAACUUUAAGUCACUGAUUUGGGAAAGAGAAGGGAGGUUUACAUUUAGUGAUAUCGUGAGAGCCACUGAAGAUUUCAGUGAAAGGUACUGCAUUGGAAGAGGAGGAUUUGGAACUGUGUACAAGGCCAAACUGUUUAAUGGUGAGACUGUUGCAGUAAAAAGGCUGAAUAUAACAGACUCCAGCAGUGCUACAGAAAAUAAUCGAUGGAGCUUUGAGAAUGAAAUUCAAGCACUGACAGAAGUUAGGCACCGCAAUAUUAUCAAACUCCAUGGAUUCUGUUCCAUAGACAAUUACCUUUACUUGGCAUAUGAAUUUGUCGAGAGAGGUAGCUUGAGCAAGUUAUUGUAUAGUCCUGAGGCUGCCUCUGCUUUAAAUUGGGAUACAAGAGUGAAAAUUGUUAUAGGAUUGGCUCAUGCACUUUCUUACCUGCAUCAUGACUGCUCUCCACCUAUUGUGCAUAGGGACGUAUCACUGAAUAACAUUUUGCUGGAGACAGAAUUGGAGCCGCGGCUCUCAGAUUUUGGCACUGCAAGAUUGUUGAGUACAGACUCAUCAAACUUGACUAAGCCUGCAGGGUCUUAUGGCUACAUGGCACCAGGUGCAUCUUUUUCAUCUCAUUAUAAUUCACGUCAGUACCAACCAUUUCUUUACGCUUUUCUUUUGAGACGUCCCAUCCAAUUCUAUAAAUUUCAAAACUUAUCAAACAUACUCAAAUUUUACUAAUAUAAAAAUCAACUGCUCUCACUACUUUUCUCCAUUAUACAUACUUUUUAUAUACUAUUAAAUAUCAACUGGUCCCACCACUAUCCUCACUUUUCUUACUUUACUUAUUUUCUUAACUUUCGUGCCCAGACCAAAUGUAAACAUUUGGGUGUAAUAACAUGCAUGCAUGUUUUGUUUCAUGUGUAGAACUAUCCUUUUGUAUGCUUAUGACAACAAAAUCAGAUGUUUAUAGCUUCGGAGUGGUGGGAUUGGAGGUAAUGAUGGGAAGACACCCUGCGGAGCUCCUUUCGACGACUUUGGCCACUGAUCAGGACUUGAUCAUGAAGGAUAUAACACUUGACAACCGGCUUCCACCUCCAAAAGACAAAAUAGCAGAGGAAGUGAAAGUGGUUCUUAAUGCAUUGCUAGCUUGCACACUUUAUGCACCAGGGUCACGACCUACUAUGCGUUUUGUGGCGCAACAACUGACAAGGACUCAGACUUGCGGAGCACUAAGUGUUCAGCUGCAUGAUAAGGCUUAGAGGUGUUGAUUAAGCUUUGGGAUAGAAAAAAAAUAAGGCUAUAACAGAGUGUGAUGCACAAUUUCUCUUUUCAUUUGUACUCACUAUAUAUAGGUUUUUGAUCCAGUAACAUGUAUCAAAAUAUUGUUUUAUAUUUUAUAAUAGAUGUUACUUCCUCGAUCCCCCCUUUUACUUGUAUAUUUUGACUUUUGAUCAGUUAAAUUGACUAUAUUUUGACUAAAGUUUACAUGUAUCGUAUAAUUAAGAAAAAUAAUAAAAAUUAUAUCAUUAGGAAGUAUAUUUAGUCUAUUUUAAUAUGCAACUUUCAAAUUUUAAAAAUUGUAAUUUGUAAUGUUUAGUCAAAAAUUGGUCACUUUGACUCUUCGAAAAACAAAAUAUACAUGUAAAAGAGGAGGAGGGAGUAAUUUAUGGAAUAUACUUUGUGGUAAGCUGAAAAACAUUUCAUAAGAGAUUAAAACAGAGUAAGAUGGAUGCAUUAAAUAGUCGCCGUCCUUGCCAAAUUUUUGAUCGUGAUGUUCAUAUACAAGUUUGAUUUUUUUUUUUUUUAUAGAGUAGAUUUUUAUUAAAAUCAAAUAUCCGACAAGAGUGUCGCCAACACACAAGAUGGAGGAGACAAUAAAUCAGUGAAGCUAUUUAACGUGCAAGAUAUGCGAGUCAGAACAUGCGCAACCUUGUUAGCUUGCGAUCUUCUUAGUAUCUACCUACAUUUUGUUUAAUUUUUCUUCUUCUUUCAUGACUUUGUUGUAAUUUUGGUUGCGAUUAAAAAUGGAACAUAUAACACAUAAAUAUGUAUUUGUUCCCACGAUUCGAUCUUGUUAGUAUCUACCUACAUUUUGUUUAAUUUUUCUUCUUCUUUCAUGACUUUGUUAUAAUUUUGGUUGCGAUUGAAAAUGGAACAUAUAAGACAUAAAUAUGUAUUUUCAUGAAUGAAAAGAAUCUUUUAAAAUAUUAAUUGAAUACACCCCAUUUAGUGUCAUGAAAUCUCCGUCCGAUUCAUUUAUAUAUAGUUUUUUUCACAGAGUGUGUUUCUAUAAAAUAUAGUUUUAUAAUUUUUUAAUUUUUGAAUAAAAAUUUAAAUACUAAAUUUUUAUGACAUUAGAUAAUUUUAUGAAACUAUAUUCUAGUGUCAAAAUGCGUGUCUUCCAAGCAUAUACAAAUCAAUGAAAUGGAGGGAGUACUAAUUUAUGAAACUAUAUAUCACUUGGAAGGGAUAUCAAAAGUUUAAAGAAAUGGUCAGGACUUUCUAUUAAUUUUCCCAUGAUAACACAAAGUGGUCGAAAUUCGAGAUCCGGGAACGGUGAGUGAUUUUUCCAUGUUCAGAAAAUCUAAAGUGAGAAGUCGUUGCUUUUGUAAUGUCAACAUCAGAAGUUUCUGAACGGUGCUUAAUAAAUCAAUGUUUGUAAUGACAUAAAGAUCUAUAAAGCAGAAUUUUCGUUGAUUUUUGACAUGUUCAGAAAUUGCUCCGUUACUUCACUUAUGACGACUGACUGUAAAGUCAAGCUAGUGUAAUGUUAUUUCCACAAAGAAAUAAUUUACAUUUUUGGCCUAACAUUAGGUACACUACUAUAAAUCCCAGAAAAUCUUACUUCCUCCGUCCCACCCAUUUCUUAUUAAAUGGGUUGGGCACGGAGGUUAAGGAAUAUGUAUAAAGUAGUGGAAAAGAGGAAGAAAAGUGAGUAAAGUGGUGGGACUCAUUGAUUUUUAAUGUAUAAAAAGAAGAUAGUGGAGUAAAAGUAGUGUGAAAAAGAAAGAAAAGUGGAGAAGUGGUGGGACCAUUGACUAUUUUUGGUAAGUUUUGAAAUGUAAAAAAUUGGAUGAGACAUCCCAAAAAGGAAAGGGUAAAGAAUUGGGUGAGACGGAGGGAGUACUAGAUUCCAACCAAAUAUAAACCAACACUAAUGGCCUUACUUCACAGUCCACUAGUUUUUUCACUGCUGAGUGUUCUUUUCAUCUCAGUAGUUCCACAAAUUCUAACAUCAUCACCAAGAACUGAGGCAGAAGCACUUGUCAAAUGGAAGAGCAGUUUAUUACCAGCUGCUUCCCUCAGUUCUUGGUCCUCAAGCCAUCUCGAAAACCUUUGUAACUGGACUGGCAUUACCUGCAAUUCUGCAGGAACAGUUUCGAAGCUCAAUGUUUCUGGUCAAGACCUUAAUGGAACACUUGCUCACUUCAGUUUCAGUUCAUUUCCGAACCUCAGUGCUUUGGACAUGAGUCACAACUUGCUGUCAGAUGUUAUACCGGGAGGGAUUGGAGACCUGGCAGAGCUUCAGUACUUGAGCUUUUACGACAAUUAUAUAAAUGGUACCAUUCCUUACCAAAUUAGUCAUCUUCAGAAGCUGCAACAUUUGGACUUGGGGUCAAAGUAUUUGGCUAGUCCAGACUGGUCUCUGUUUUCGGACAUGCCAAUUUCAAACUCUCAUAAACUACGUAGGAGGAGCACUACAUAUAAAGAUAUAGACACAUAUUAAAUUACCAUUAUAUUGCAAACUACCACUAUAUUUUAAUAAUGGUAAAAAUAAUGACAUAGUGUUAAUAAUCAAAUCCGAACCUAACGUUUCUGUCCAAAAAAAAAUAAUCCGAACCUAGUGACAAAAAAAAUCCGAACCUGCCCGCAAGGGUUGGUUCAGCUGGUUAAAGAGAGGACAUGUAUCCUCUUGGUCACAGGUUCGACUCCCGAAGGGAGCAGAAUUUGUGAUUAUGCAUCCUGGAUCAGAGUCUGUCGCGCUUAGGUGCGGUUUACCUGGUUUACCUUGGACAUGUAUCCUCUUGGUCACAGGUUCGACUCCCGAAGGGAGCAGAAUUUGUGAUUAUGCCUCCUGGAUGGUUUACCUUGGUUCACGUAGUUUGCAGGCUAUUGCGUGAGCUCGUGGGUUUAUCCAGUGCGCACCCGAAGGGUAGCGGCUGCGGGUUCCUACGUUAAAAAAAAAUAAAAAAAUCCGAACCUAUCAUUAAUGACAAAAAAGAAAAAAAUUAUAGUUCAGUGGUAGGAUUCUAAAUAAAUAAUAAGUUGGAUGGUAAAAAAAAUAAUCUAUUUUCUCAUUAUAUAAUAUACAUAAAUUAUUAAUCAGUCAAUAGGAUCUCAGAGAAGUAUGAAACCUAAUUGAUAUGAUACAAUAACAAAUUUAAUAUUUGCUCUUUAUUAUUUGCUCUCUAUUAUUUCAACAGUUAAUAUCAAUACAACCAAAAACAUGUAAACUCAAUACAAAUGGGAAGAGAAAAAUGCAAUAUUUAAUAUAUCUUAACCAACACCGAAGUAAUUAACUGGCUCUGUGUGAAAUGAUGAUCCAUUUUGUGUCAUAAAUCGAUUUCUAUCCUUCGAGCUAGGAUCUUGUAAAUCAUGACUUAUGGGCCAUUAUUAAUUAUAGGUGCACCGUCAUGAUCUCUUGGUCCAGGGCCAGGCCCGGGUCGAGAAGGAGGAUGUCUGUCACCUGGAUCUCUCGCAGCUUUCCCUGUAGAUAAAAACGUUCAAAAUUGGAUUAAACAAUUAUCAUGCAAUCUCUAUGUUUAUAGGCUGAAAUGUUCGGAUUUUUUUUUUUUUUUUUGACAAAUAUGAUCUAUAGCCUAGGAAAUUUUCGGGGUGAGCGAGGUGGAACCCAGGACUUGGGACGACAAAGGAUAAGCUCUUAACCACUGAGUUAUUGAUCAUUAUAUACUUUUACAUAUUUGCAGUAUAGUUAUUGGAAGUUAAUAAGAUCGCGAUGUCUUAUUAAUUAAUUGUAUUUAUCUUUUCAUAUUUCACAAAGAUGUAAAAAAUUUAAUAUUUUAAUGUUAUAUUUUAAAGUGUUAUCUUUUAGUAAUAAACAAAUACAAAUUUUUAUCUAAUAAUUAAUAUAAAAUUAAGUAAAAGUAUUUUUAAUACACUUUAAACUCAUGCAAGAGAAAUUUAUAAAAUAUUAAAGUGAUUAAGGAAAAGUUUUAAGAUAAAAAAAAUACAAUGAUAGGAGACAAACCUGCAACUGCAUGGCUUAAAACGAACUGCAGUAUAAUAACGAUCAUUAUAAUAAAAUAAAUAAAUCUUGCCCAAGAGAAUGAAGCCAUGUAUACCAGUAUAAGCUGAUAUCUUGAUUAGAUCCAUUGAUUUAUGCGUCUAUUUAUAAACAAUUGUAUAUAAGCUUUUUCCAUCUUCACGCGAACUUGAAUGGAACGUACCUGGUAACUACCAUUAUUGACUUUCGUCGCCUUUUUAUAUUUAGUCGCACAAGUAAACACUUCAACACUUCAAAACUUAUUAAUUAAGUAUAUUAAAAUUUUAUAAUAAAUUCAACCACCCACUCCUUUUCGAUUCAAAAUCUAAACAUAGUAAAAUUUUACAAUAUAAAAUUCUUCUAACCCCAUAAUAUUUUACACUAAAUAUAUAAUUAUUUUAUUCAUUAAAUAUUAAACGGUGCCACCGUUAUCCUCUCUUUUAUUAUUCUUUCAUCAUUUUUUACUUACCUUUUCACCUUUCAUAUACUCAACCCAAAUGUAAACAUUUAAAUGAGACUGAGGCGUAUCAUUUAUCAUUUUAAUCACUUAAGUUCUACCCCAACUUUUAUAUAUAUAUAUAUAUAUACAUAUUAAAAAGUAAUACAAAGAAGACGAUGAACAUAUCACCUAAAUUCUUCCCUCAUUAAUUCUUCCAGCCGGAAAUUGUGAAUAAUUUCAAAAAACGCCCUUUAAGGUUCCUGCAUAAGAGCAUCUCCAACCAUAUGAAACCAUUAGCUAAACAUCAUAAAUAAAUAUCAUAAAUAAAAAAUAUAGAGAAUAUGUUAAAAAAAAUAUGAACUCUAAUGGGACAUUCCUCCUUGUCUAUAAAUAUAGUCAACCUGAUGAGGUUGACUAUAUUUGUCGAACCUCUGCAGACCUAUAGGCAUCUGUAAAAUGAUUCAGCAUCAUUCAUUAACAUAUUAACAUAUUGAAAUGAUAUAUUCUAUUUAUAACAAUCAAGUUAUUAAUAACAUACUAAUUUUAAAAUAUAGCCAAUACCAUUUAAGCAAAUUUUAUAUAACGUGGUCUAAUUUAGCCAACCACUUUUAGCCAACAUCAUUGAAAAUGCUCUAAUGUAUGUUCUUUCUGCAUAAUAAGCUUAUUGUCAAAAAAUAUGCUAUUUCUGUCAAAAAAGUAUGCUAUUUCUGUGACCAAAUCCAAAACACAACAUGAAUCACAUUCUGUAUAUAAUAGUACAUUGAACUCUGAAUCCGUACAAGUUUGUAUUUUAGCCGGGGAAUUCCAGCUCCCUCAUGUUUGCAUAAAUAUUUGACGAUGAGUAAUCAAGACUUGUCGAUACAUAUGUUAUAAUUGGAAACCAGAAAUCAGAUACUUUGAUCCCUAAAAUUAGGGUAAAAAAGUUCCAUGGAAAAUAGUGUCAUUAACAUCUCAGUCUCAUUGAUUUAUAUACAAUUUUUCACAAGGACUUUAAUAAAAUAUAAUAUUAUAGUUUAUUUUUUAAAUUUUUUUGAUAAAAUUUAAAAAUUACUCAUUCCGUCCUAUUCAAUUGUAUACAUUGUUUUUACUGCUUGACAUGUAUUUAAAAAUUCUUAUAAAAUAUAGUUCUAUAACUUAUUUUUAAAAUUUUCUUUUUUCAUAGAAAUAUAAAUGUUAUAUUAUUAUACUGAAAAAGAAAAUCUUGAAAAUAAGUUGCAGAACUAUACUUUAUUGAAGCAUUAAAAUUUGUGCCGUGUCCCUACCCCCAAUGUAUAUUGGCCGGGAUGAAGGGAAUACAUUUUUAUUUAAAAGAAAAAUAUAAAAUAAUUUAUGAAACUAUAUUCGAGUGUUAAAAUAUCUGCAAAGUCCUCACUCCCAAGAGUAUACAACUCAAUGAGACGAGGGAGUACUAAUUUACUGAACUAUAUUUUGAUUGAUGUUUAAUGUAUAAAAUAAUAUAGUGGAAAGUAGUAGAGCAUUUGAUUUUUAUACUAUAUAAUAUUUUUAUAUUUGGUAAAGUUUGAAAGUGUAAAAAAUCAGGAAGAAUAUCAAAGUUUAAAAAAAUGGCCGGGAACUUCUAUUAAUUUUUCUAGGUGAUAAUGAAAAGUGGUCGAAAUUCGAGAACGGUGUGUGAUUUUUCCAUGUUUGGAAAUUUGAAGCGAGAAAUCGUUGCUUUUGUAAUGCCAGAAGUUUCUGAACGAGUGUUUAAUAAAUCAAUGUUUGUAAUGAUACAAAGAGCAAUAAAGCAGAAUUUUUGUUGAUUUUUGAUUUGAAAAGUAGACGCAAGAAAUUGCUCUGUUAGUUCCUAUAUGAAGACUGACUGUAGAGUCAAGCUAGUGUCAUGUUAUUUUCACAAAGAAUAAUUUAUAUUUGUGGCCUAACAUUAGGUACACUAAAAAAAAUUUAAAUUUGGAGCAGUGCCCAAACUACUCCAAUCGUGGACUAAAAAGUGAUCCAAAUUUGGAUCAGUCAAUAGUACUGGUCCAAAUUUGGAUCACUACUAUCCAAAAUUUUAUAACAUUAAAAUAUUAUUACUUUUAUUAUUUGAUGAUUUUGUUAAUAUUAUUAAAAAUAGAUUAAUUAAGAUUGGAAUAUAAAUAAAACAACGAUUAAUUAUAAAUUAAAAUUUCAAAAUAAAUAAAAUUUCAAAAUACAUAAAAUUUCAACAAUUUAUCAAUCACUACAGAAAAAUCAAAAACAAAUAUUUUUUCAUCUUGAACUUCGAAAUGCACUAAUUGAGCAUUUGUAAGAAAAAUAAACUAAUUCUGAGAAUUAAUAUUUUAAAGUAAUAUUUUAAUAUUUUUAAUUUAUUUUUAUGUACCGUUUUAACUUUUUCGAAUUAUUUUGUAAUAUUUUUUCUUUGUCUAUUUGUUAAUUAUAUUAUUAUAAUUAAUGAUGAAAUUAGUUAAUCAUUUUUUAAAAUAUUUAAAAUCAAAGUAUAUAAAUAUUAUAAGGAUGGAUGAAUUUGGAUCUAUAUUUGGAUGGAUUAGAAUAGGAUUUGGAUCCCGCCCCAACCUUCAUGUUCUUUUCAUCUCAGUAGUUCCACAAAUUCUAACAUCAUCACCAAAAACUGAGGCAGAAGCUCUUGUCAAAUGGAAGAGCAGUUUAUUACCAUCUGCUUCUCUCAGUUCUUGGUCCUCAAGCCAUCUCGAAAACCUUUGUAACUGGACUGGCAUUACCUUCAAUCCUGCAGGAACAGUUUCGAAGCUCAAUGUUUUCUGGUCAGGACCUUAAUGUGGAACACUUGCUCACAUCAGUUUCAGUUCAUUUCCGAACCUUAGUUCUCCAUCUCCCGGUUUCCAACCUCAACACAGGAUUACCCUUGAGAUCAACUGUUCCAUCUUUAGUGUACUCAUCCCCACUCUUCUUGCCAUUCUCUUCAACUUUUUCCAUCGUCAUUUCACCUUAAACUCUAUUGACCAUCCAGAUUAAGAAACCAGUUCCUCAAUGCAGAUACUUUUCGCCGAAAUGCAGGAUAAUUACUGAAUCUUGUGGCAUUGUUAAACUGUAUUAUUUAUUAAAAUUUCACAAAGAAGUGAGUUCUUAUAUCUAAAUCUGACCCUCUUAGAUAUUCAUGUUGGUAAAAGAACAAAAACAUGAAUCCAAUUUAUUCAUGAGUAUGGUCGCCACUUCUUAGUUUUUUCUAGUAAUUUACAGAUGCAGCUGCUUAUAUAUUAGUUAUCAUCAAUUGUUUAAGUAUAAUAAAUCUCUGCCACAACAAGACUUAUAUAUGACAUGUGUUAUAUCGUAUAUUUUUCAUGUUAUUUUUUUUUUAACAAUCAAUACUUUUAUAAAUUUUCACUAGAAUUCAAAAUGAUAAUAAACACUUCCUCGGUCCAAAAGAUUCUUUACAUUAUUUUCUCACACUUAUUUUGAGAAAGUAUAGUUUGAUAAUAUAUUUUUAAAAUUUUAUUUCUUGAAUAAAAAUUUGACAGAAUCUCAAAAUCCAUGCAACGGAACUUAAAAACAACUUGUGGAGUAUAAUAUGUUGACAUGGCUUAUGCAUGCAAGUCGAAUAUCCUUGAACGGGGAUAGCCGACCAACUCAUAUCAUAACUUAUAAGUUAUAAACUAAGAAUCGACUUAGAAAAUAUGGUGAAGAAAACAACUAUAAUGUCUGCCUGCGUCUUGUCACGGUGGAUUAAUUUUUUAUUUCUCCUAAUAACACCCUGCAUGUUUGGUUGUCCAUGCUUCCCGCUUCUUUUAUUAAUUAGAAGUCGGUUUAUAAUUUUUUUUACCCGUUUUCGGUUAAAGUCAAAAAAAAUAAUUAUAAAAUGAGAACUCUAUCUUUUGUCUCGGGUCUUUUCACUUUUUCUCGAAAUACUUUAAUCACUUACAUGUUUUGACUUACUUUUCAGAUUCAUUUUUUUAUUUUAAAAAUGAAGUCAUUUUUUUUUUUUAAUUUUAGCCAAAAGGUCCUAUUAUUUUCGGCUCUACAAAACUCCCAACUAAAAGUUUACAUAACAUGUCAGAAUUUUUUUAUAAAUAAUAUCUAUAAAUUUUAUCAAUCCGUUACCAAACUCUUGUCUAUUAAUAGAGAGACUCUUUUUUUGCAGGGGGUGCAUAUUUAUGCUUCGGUCACCGGUAUAAUUAUAUCAAUACAAUUUCUAUAAUAUACAAAUUUUAUUAAUCAGCCAAUAUGAUCUUAGGGAAGUAUAAAACCUAAUGGAUCGAUAUGAUACAGUGACAACUUUAAUCCUUGCUCUUUAUUAUUUCAAACAGUUAACAUCAAUACAACAAAAAAUAAGUAAACUCAAUCCAUAUGGCACGAGAAAAAAAUACAUAUUAAAUAUAUUUUAACCAACACUUGAGUAAUUAAUUGGCUCAGUCGAAAUGAUGUUCCAUUUGUAUCUAUCCUCCAAGCUAGGAUGUUGUAAACCAUGAUUUGAAAACUUACUGUAUAUAUAGUAAAAUUUAUAAUUUAAAAUUCAACCAAUCACACUAGAUACUUUUCAAUUCAAAUUUACUUAUAGUACAAUUUUAUAAAUUUAUAAAAUUUAACUAACUCCACAAUUUUUUUUCACUAUGUAUACUCAUUUUAUAUAUGUCGAAUGUCCCAUCAUUGUUCUUACUUUUUGAAUGGGACCGAAGAGUAUCAUUCAUCACUUUAAUCAUAGAAAGAAUAUGAUGAAACUAUAAAUUAUAAUGAGAACAUAUAUCCUAAAUUCUUCCCCGAUUCUUCGGGCCGGAAAUUGUGAAUAAAUUUAAAAGAGGUUCAAGGUUCCUGCAUAAUGCAUGUUUUUUCUGCAUAAUAAUCUUAUUGUCAAAAGUACGCUAUUUCUGUGACCAAAUCCAAAACAAACAUGAAUCACAUUCAUGUACAGUACAUUGAACUCUGAAUUCAUAUAAGUUUUUGUUUUAGCGGGGGAACUCUAACUCCCUCGUGUUUGCGUAAAUAUGGUUAAAGUGACUGGUUAAAUACGACCGGUCUCAAAUAUGACUAUUAGCUACUCCUCUGUCCCACCAGUUGUUGACGUUACUUUUUGACACAGCAUUUUAAGACUCCUGUAAAGUAUACUUACAUUAUAUAUUUAAUUUUAAAUAAAAUCCUGAAAAAAAGUUUGACGUUUAAACUUAUAUUCAAAAAAAGAAAAAACUUAAAAAUACGUUAUUAAACUAUACUUUAUAAGAGUCUCAAAAUACGUGCAAACAGUGAACGUAAACUACCUGAUGUGACCGAGGGAGUAUAUCAUAAUUAAGGUCAAAUCAAGAAAUGUAUAAGUCAAAAGUAAAUAUGGCCAAAUAAAUUUGACUGUCGUUAAAUAUGACUGAUAAAGUUAUAUCAAAUGGCGUUUAUAUUUAUCUAGUCAUAUUUAUAAAAUAGGACCCACAAAAUUUAGGAGGCAAAACUUUCCUCUAGUAAAAUUUAUGACGACGUCGCUAUAUUUGACUAGAAUCGGUCAAUAAUAAAGUCGGUCAUAUUUUUUUUUUGAACGAGAAAUUUCCCGCAUAAUAUUUCAGAAUCUCUGAAAGCUAGGUAUGACCGAUUUUGAUCGCAUUUAUUAAUUGGACCAACUGUGGUCAUGUUUACAAGUUUGACAAGAACCAAUCAUAUUUUAUAUUCGACCGACUUUAAUCGUAAUUAGUAAUAUGAUCAUACACGGUCAUAUUUAUAAGUGUGGCAAUAUGUACUAAAGUGUUGGUACAUAAAUAUGUUAUAACUGGAAAACAGAAACCAGAUACUUGAUCCCCAAAAUUAGGAUAAAAACAAUUUCGUGGAAUGUAAAAAAAUAUAAACUUAGGAGGGUGUAUUCAACGGAGAUUUUAAUGGAUUGUUUUUAAUUAUUAAAUUUUAAUGGAUGACAUUUGAUUUUGAUUUUGAUUUUAUGCGAAUUCUUGAUAAAAUGUCUUAGAGUUGAUAUAUAUAUUGUUUAGGAUUUAAACACCAUGCUUAGAAAUAUCAUGGAUUGUGCAAGUACGAGUAUAAAUGUUCCCCCAUGCAGACCAGGCCUAAUGGUCUCAAGUGGAUGACCUGGUUCCUUCUGACGCCUAAUACCCCGAGAUAGAUGAUGGCUGAAAUGAUGAAAGUCCAGUACCGGCCGAGAUGAGCAUCGGCUAUGUAGGCACCCAGAAUGGGGGUAAGCCAGACGGUGCCAACCCAGUUGGUGACAUUGUUUCAAGAUUUUACAGUUCCUUCAUGCAGCUUCUUUGAUAGAUACAACACCAGAUUUGUCGAGAUUCCAUAAAACGCCAUCCUCUCAAAUGCUUCAUAUGCUACAAAUCGUUAUCGAAAUUAAACAUAGUGAUAAAACAUUUAUCUUUUGUCGUAGCAAGCUAAAACUUAACUUUUCACUAUACUUUUAAAUACUUUGUAAUCAUUUUAUAACAUGUUUGACUUUUUUCACAUAUUUUCACCACAUACGUCCAUGUAAGUAGUAUUUUUGGAUGAACAUAAAAAAUAAAAUCAUAUAAUUUUUUUCACUGAUAAGUGAAUAAGCAACAUGUUUUUUAUUAAAAUAUAAUAUGAUUCUGAUAAACCUUCCUCUCAACAUCUUGAGAUUUUAAUUUAACAUGAUAUGAGAACUCAGUGAGAUAUAAUAUGAUUAUUGGUUAAGACAUACUCCCAACAACUCGAGGUUUUCUCAGAAGAUUUGGUCAGUUAACAGUUUUGACAUACCUAUAAUGAAAUAAGUAGCUCUCCAUCUCGCUGUUUUCUAUCUCAGCACAGGAUUACCCUUGAGAUCAACUGUUCCAUCUUCAGUGUACUCUUCUUCCCUUUCUCUUCAACUACUUUUUCUCCAUUGUCAUUUCCACCUUAAACUUUAUAAACCAUCCAGAUAUUUAAGUCAGUUCCUUAAUGCAGAUACUUUCUGCCGAAAUGCGGGAUAAAUAUUACUGAAUCUUGUAGCAUUGUUAAACUGUAUUUAUCAUAGUUUCACAAUGAAGUGAGUUCUUAUAUCUGAAUCUGACCCUCUUAGAUAUUCAUGUUGGUAAAAGAACAAAAACAUGUAUCCAAUUUAUUCAUGAAUAUAGUCGCCACUUCUUAGUUUUUUCUAGUAAUUUACAGAUGCAGCUGCUUAUAUAUAUAUUAGUUAUCAUCAAUUGUUUAAGUUAUAAGUAUAAAGAAUAUCUGCGACAACAAGGCUUAUUAUAUGGCAUGUGUUAUAUAUGGUGAAGAAAACAACUAUAAUUGUCUGCCUGCAUGUUGUGAUCGUGGACUAACCCCUUACUUUACUAAGAUUAUCUCCGACAUGCAAAAUUCAUAUCUAAAAAUCUAAGUGACUUGUCAAAAAUAAAUUUUAGAGAUAAUAUGUAUAAAUUUCAGGAGUACUAAAAAAAUCUUGUCUAUAAUAUAAGUACAAAAAGUUGAAAAACAUUUUCUAGGAUGUCAUAUUUCUUUUUCGGAAAGUGCACCUUCAUACUUCGGUCACUGGUAUUAUAUACGAUUUAUAUAGUAAUACAUAAAUUUAUUAAUCAGUUGAUAUGACCUUAGAGAGAAGUAUAAAACCUAGCUAAUUUAUGGUACAAUACAGUAACAAUUUUAUUCCUUGCUCUUUAUUAUUUCAGCCGUUAAUAUCAAUACAACCAAAAAUAAGUAAACUCAAUACAAAUGGGAAGAGAAAAUGCAAUAUUUAAAAUAUUUUAAUCAACACAUAAUUAACUAAUGGAUCAGUCGAAACGAUGAUCCGUUUUGUAUUAUAAAUUGAUUUCUAUAUAUGCUUCGAGGAUCUUGUAAACCAUGAUUUAUGAGUUAUUAAUCAUUAUUAGCUGCAUGGGGAGCUCUUCCUCCUCCACGGCUACGCCCGGGUCGAGAAGGAGGAUGUCUGUCAUCUUUAUCUUUAUCUAUCUGAUCAGCUGCAGAUAAAAACAAGGAUUAAAUCAUUAUUAUUAAUGUAUUUUAUAAGUUUGAAAUGUUCGAAACCAAUUAUAAUUAGUUAUAUUACCUACAUUUUCAUUUAUCCCACUAUAUACAACACAAAUUUAAUCACUAUAUAUUUAACAUGAUUCGAUUGCAAACAAACAUUAUUAGAUUUUAUAUUUAACAAAACAUAUCAUGUCUUUUAUUAGAAUUCAAUUGGAUUAAUUCUCAAAUUGUCUUAAUGAAUGAUUUAUGACUACAAAAAGAAGUCAUACGAUACAAUGAAAAUAUAAUAUUGUAUAUAAGUUUUUUUAAGGAUAUGCUUAUCUAAACAACAAGCCCUACUUAUGUAAACAAGAAGCUCCAGGGUGUUUGUUUAUUAAAUUAUAAAAAUAGAAGAAAAUGAAUGCAAUUCCUUUUGAUUUGUAUUUGAUUAGUAGUCUGUAUAUAUAUCGCAAUAUUUUCUUGUUGCAUAUUAUAUAUUUUUUAAUAUUUGUAUUAUAGUUAUUGGAAGUUGAUAAGAUCACGAUGUAUUAUUAAUUAAUUUUAUUUAUCUUCUUAUUAGCAAACAUAUAUCAAAAAGAAUAUUUUAAUAUUACUUUUAAAAUUUUAUCUUUAAUAAGAAAAUGGAUACAAACUUUUAUAUUCAAGAUACUAAUAUAAAAUGAAGUAGAACAAUUUUUUAAUACACUUAAAAUACAUAUACAAUUUUUAAAAAAUAUUUAGAAAGUAAAAAUAAAUAUUUUUGGAGGAAAAAAAUAUAAUAACAAGAGACAAACCUGCUUGUGAGAAAACGAGCUGCAGUAUAAUAACAGCCACUGUGAUAAAAUAAAUAAAUCUUGCCCUAGAGAAUGAAGCCAUGUAUACCGGUACUAGCUGAUAUAUAUCUUUAUUACAUCCAUUGAUUUAUGCGUCUAUUUAUAAACAAUUGUAUAUAAGCUUUGAUCUCCCAUGCGAACUUGAGCACGUACCUGGUAGCUACCAAUAUUAUUGACUUAUGUCCGCCUUUUGAUAAUGAAGGGGAGAACAAUAUAUUGGUAUUAACAGUGUUGUAAAAAGUGUAAAUCGGAUUUAAUCGGUGAAGUCACGGAACAAAGAUUAAUCGGGGAGUAAUUAAAUAGAUCGGAGAUUAAUCGGAUUGAUCGGUGAUUAAUCGGAGAAUUAAUCAGUUCGAUGAGUUAUGCAACAAGAAUUAAUCGGUGACUAAUCGUGAUUAAUCACCGAUUUUUAGAAUAGAAAGUAUUAAUAUUAAAACCGUAUACCACCAUCAAUUUUUUAGUGGCAAUUUCCAUGGUAAAAGUAACGUCAUUAUUUUUUUUACCGAAAGUAAUAUUUUUAUAAUGUAAAUGGGUUAGACCGUCUAGAAAAAAAACUUGCACCUAUAAAACGCAAGAGAAACAAUAUUGUUAACUUUCAUGGAAGGUGUGAUAACUUACAUUAAAAACAUAAAAUUUAACUGUUGCUAGGUUUCAUGUAUGAAGAUGAAGCUUGAUAAAGAUUUUCGUGCACUAUAAUGAGACUCGCUAUGAGCAGUUGGGCCUUCUUAGAGAUCAUCGUCUUCUUCAAUUUGAUCUUCAGGUUCAGAUUUUCUGUGUUGGAGCCUUGGAGGGCUUGAAGCGAACAACAUCCAUUUACUAUUAUCUAUGUUUAUAUUGAACAGUACAAGACAAUAUCUACCUAACAAGCUGAUUGAUUUUGAUACGAUUAUGAUCUAGUUUCAGCAUCAUUUUUGUUUUCAUGAAUCACUGUUCAGCUCGGUUUCUCUUCUGUAUUCAAAAAAGUGACAUAUUAUUACUCAAACUAUAAUAUUUAACAAAUUGAGCACUACUCCCUCCGUCCCAAUGAAUUAUAUACGUUGGGACCGGACACGGAGACCAAGAAAAAGUGUAAGAAAUGAGUAAAGUUAGAUGGAAAGUGGGUAAAGUGGUGGGACCCAAAUAGAUUUGAGAUAGUGGAGUAAGGUAGUGGGUGUAAUAGUGUUUUUAUAUAUUAUUAUAUAAUGGAGAUAGUGGGAGAAUGUAGUGUGUGUAGUAGUGUUUUAUAUUAUAAAAAGUUGCUAUUUUGGGAAUGUAUAGAAAUGAUGGGACAUUCCAAAAAGGAAACUGUAUAGAAUUGAUUGGGACGGAGGGAGUAUUUGAUAGCCGAAGUGAUGGGUAUAUUGGAUUCGACUUUGGAUCAUCCCAAUAAUAUUAGAACAACUACUAAUUUGUAAGAUAUAUAAGUCUAAAUCAUCAUAAGAAUUAUAUUAUAAAUAGACGCAAAAAUAUUUAGGCUUCAAAAUUUGUACUAGUUCAUGAGCUUCUAAACUCAAAUAAUAUUUUUAAUAUAUUUAUGUGUUCGAGAGUUAUAUAUUGCAUAAUUAUUAAUUACUUACACAAUCCCAUUCUAGUUAUAAUUUUUUUUAUGUGAAAUAGUUAUAAUUGUUAAAUAUUCAACAUCGAUGUUUCUAACAUACGUCAAAAUAAUACUAUGAAUGUAAAUUAAUAUUGAACAAUUAUGAUAAUUAAAUUUAUUUGAUAUAUAGUUAAAAGUUUUUCAUAUAUAGUUGGAGUUGCUCUUAUAGGUUAAACGAAAAUAUUAUAAAUUAUCAGGUCCAAUUUAGUCAACUAAUUUUAACAAAUCUUAUUGGACAUGUUCUAAUAAAAUUAGAUUUUAAAAAGAUAUGAGUGUUACAACAAAUGCCUAUAAAUAGGAUGAAUGUCAAUAUUCUCUCAUUCUCGUCUUAUCUCGACCAAAAUAUCAGUGUACAUAAAAUGUGACCAAAAUAACGACUCUGAUGCGCAAUCUGCAAAUGUGUGUAUGGGACACGCAUAAAUGAGAUGCGUGCAUGUUCUUAGUUUGUAACAACACGCAUACACACUGUGCGUAUGUAUUAAUGUUUCAGAUUUGUUUUGUCGUAUACGCAUGUUUUAUAAUAAAAAAAUUAAGGCAAUGUGGUAAUUAGUAUAUGUGUGUAAAAGGAGAUCUGGAGAUUUGUUUACCCACAUGUAUAACCAUUAUUGGAAGACGAUGUUAGAGUGAAUGAAUGGAGAGGAUGAAUAACUCAGAUUCAAGAGGGGCAAAACAAGGCAGAGACGUGCAAAAAGCAAAAGAACCUGAAUUUGAUACACACAUAUCGAUUAUGCGAGUUUGAUAUGAUAUUAAAGGCACUUGUAUCGAAAAGUGAUAUUUUGGACACCACAUAUUAAAAAUUCUGUUAAAGUGGGCAUUUUCUCCUAUAAAUAAUAGUAUAUAGGAGAAAAUCUAAUACAAUGUAAAAUAAAAGAACAUAAAAAUUUUUGUUGACGAGGCUUAUUGAAAUCCAUGGUUUCAUUAACCCAAAUAGCUCAAUUAAAUAAAUGAUCAAAAACUGCAUGGGCAUGAUGUAGGCCAUAUCUAGCUCAUUUAAUAAACACACUUUCUUUUCCCGAAUUGUGUUUCAGAAUUUAAACUACCUGAAUGUAGAACAGAGUACUGAUAUUUGAUCAGAGAUGCAUCAUCUCGGAGAACAGAACAAAAAGUACUUAAAGAUCAUCUCUGAGAUUUUAUUUAUUAUAUUAAUCAAUAAUCAGUUAAAUUCUACCCCAAUCCUUACGGCAGAAAAACUGUGAAUAUCUAUUAUAAAAUAUAAUAUAAAGAGCAUGAAAAAACCAUAAUGAGAACAUAUCACUUAAAUCUUCCAUGAUUCUUCCAGCCCAAAAUUGUGGAUAGAUUUCAAAAAGCUUUUAGGUUCCUGCAGAAUGCUUUUUUCUGCCUAAUAAGCUUAUUGUCAAAAGUAAGCUAUUCAUGUGACCAAAUCCACAAUUACAAGUGAGUAUAAAUUGUAAGCUGUUAGAGUCGAACCAGGAUCUGGGAGGACAAAGGAUAAGCUGUCAGGAUUGGGACGACAGAAGAUAAGAUAUUAACCACCUAAGCUAUCCGACCGUGCUCAACCCUGAAUCUAUAUAAGUUUGUAUGUUUGUGUAAAUAUUUGACAAUGAGUAUUCAAGACUUGCUGAUUCUUAAAUAUGUUAUAACUGGAAACCCGAAAUCAGAUACUUGAUCCCUAAAAUUAGGGUAAAACAAUUUCCUGGAAUGUAAAAAAAUAUAAAUCUUUGUGUCACUAAAAUAUACUCCCUCCUUCCACUCAUUUAUAAAAAAUUCAAACAAUAAAUUUAUAUUUGGAAAAUAAAAUAAAACAAUAGCUGAAAUUAUAUUCUAGCGUUAAAAUGCGUGCCAACCCUGCGUACCAAGUUUAUACAACUCAAUUCAAUGAGACAGGGGGAACGCUAAUUUUACUAGGGUAGUUGAUUUUUAUGUCAAACGAUAUUUGGUACAUUUUGAAAUGUAAAAAAGGAGGAAAGAAAUGGUUGAUAUUGGUAGUAAUAAAUUUUUCUUCGUGAUAAUGAAAUAUGGUCGAAAUUCGAGAUUUCGGAACGGUGUGUGAUUUUUCCAUGUUAUCGUUGCUUUUGUAAUGUCAACAUUCUUGAGUGCUUAAUAAAUCAAUGUUUGUAAUGAUACAAAGAGCUAUAAAGCAGAAUUUUUGUUGAUUUUUGAUAUGAACAUGUGCCACAAAGUAGACACAAGAAAUUGCUCUGUUAGUUCACUGAUGAAGACUCACUGUAGAGUCAAGCUAGUGUAAUUGGUACUUCCGCAAAGAAAUAAUUUAUAUUUGUGGCCUAACAUUAGGCACACUACUAUAAAUCUCCCAAGAGAUCUUACUAGAUUCCAACCAAAUAUAAAAACACUAAUGGCCAGCUUACUUCAUAAUCCACUUGUUUUUCUACUGCUGCAUGUUCUUUUGAUCAUCUCAGUAGCUCCACAAAAAAUAACACCAUCACUAAGAACUGAGGCAGAAGCUCUUGUCAAAUGGAAGAGCAGUUUAUUACCAUCUGCUUCUCUCAGUUCCUGGUCCUCAAGCAGUCUCGAAAACCUUUGUAACUGGACUGGCAUUACCUGCAAUUCUGCAGGAACAGUUUCGAAGCUCAAUGUUUCUGGUCAAGACCUUAAUGGAACACUUGCUCACUUCAGUUUUGGUUCAUUUCCGAACCUCAGUUCUUUGGACAUGAGUCACAACCUGCUGUCAGACGUUAUACCGGGAGGGAUUGGAGACCUGGCAGAGCUUCAGUACUUGAGCUUUUACGACAAUUAUAUAAAUGGUACCAUUCCUUACCAAAUUAGUCAUCUUCAGAAGCUGCAACAUUUGGACUUGGGCUCAAAUUACUUGGCUAGUCCAGACUGGUCUCUGUUUUCGGACAUGCCAAUUUUGACAUACCUCAGCUUAUACUACAAUGAGCUUGCUUCCGGAUUUCCAUUUUAUGUGAUAAAUUUAAGGAACUUAAUUUUUCUUGAUUUGUCGAGGAAUGAGUUGACAGGCUUACUGCCA